RNAcentral lists this unclassified non-coding RNA (1867 nucleotides) under Pogonomyrmex barbatus (red harvester ant). Its description in RNAcentral is "protein krasavietz, transcript variant X2". Lineage: Eukaryota; Metazoa; Arthropoda; Insecta; Hymenoptera; Formicidae. The record is from RNAcentral.
UACAGUCCGUCGACCGUUUCUUCUCCUCUGUCCAAGUCUCUUUGGUUUCUCUGAGCUCGAGUAUCAGAGUCCUCCUUAAAACAUCUUACAUCGGUCGCAUACGCCAGGGCAGGAGAGGUUGUUCUACGAUUUUUACGUGCGUCGAAAAGAGUAUUGUAUGAGUCAAAAAAUAGAAAAACCGAUACUAUCAGGUCAACGCAUAAAGACCAGAAAAAGAGAUGAAAGAGAGAAAUAUGACCCAACCGGCUUUCGAGAUGCGGUUUUGCUUGGCUUGGAAAAAGCUGGUAACGACUUAGAAGCAAUUUCUAAAUUUCUGGACGCGGCUGGUUCUAAGUUAGACUAUCGUCGAUAUGGGGAAGCAUUAUUUGACAUCAUGAUUGCUGGAGGUCUUCUAGUUCCUGGCGGUUCCAUUGCUCAAGAUGGCGACAAACCGGUUAAAACCAGUGCAUGUGUUUUUGAACAGCCAGAGGACAUGGAGUCUAUGCGAAAUUUUGAACAGGUCUUUAUCAAACUCAUGCGACGUUAUAAAUAUUUGGAAAAAAUGUUUGAGGAAGAGAUGAAAAAGGUAUUGGUCUUUAUGAAAGGAUUUUCACCUAAAGAAAGAAUUAAGCUAGCACGAAUGACAGCACUGUGGAUCUCGAAUGGCUCUGUACCACCUACAGUCCUUUCGGUUUUGAUCAAUGAGCAUCUUGUUAAAGACAACUUGGCAUUAGACUUCCUACUAGAAGUCUUUGUUACUUGGAAACAAGAAAAAGGUUUAUCUAGUUUAAUGACUGCUUUGAAGAAAGGAGGUAUUGAAGGAAGGUUGAUGGAAUUUGUACCACCGAAUAAACGAACAGAAGAACAUUUCCGAUCUGUGUUUGAAGCGGUAGGCUUGGCAGAUAUUGUGAAAUUACACAAGGCUCAGGCCAGUCAAGAAGCUAAACGGGAUUUACAACAACUUCUUUUGGAUGAUUUAGCAGAGAAUAGGCCAAUGAAGGACAUAACAUUAGAUCUCAAAGAAAUGGCACAAAGGAGUGGCAUUCCUGAACAUGAAGUGAUUGGACUGAUAUGGGUUGUUGUAAUGGGCCAAGCUGAAUGGAAUAAGAAAGAAGAAUUAGUCGCUGAACAAGCACUGAAACAUCUAAAAGUUUAUACUCCAUUAUUCGGUGCUUUUACAACCACUGCCAGAUCUGAGCUCGCACUCAUUCUCAAGGUCCAGGAAUUCUGUUAUGAGAACAUGAAUUUUAUGAAAGUCUUCCAGAAGAUUGUUUUACUCUUUUAUAAACGGAAGUUGUAUCAGAAGAUGUAAUAUUGAAGUGGUACAAAGAGGGUCAUUCGGUUAAGGGAAAGAUGCUCUUUUUAGACCAAAUGAAAAAAUUCGUGGAAUGGCUGCAGAAUGCCGAAGAGGAAUCUGAAUCUGGAGAAGAAGAAGAUUAGAAAUAUUCAAGAGAAUAUAUCAUUGCCAGUAAUAAGAAAUGACAUAGUCUCAAAAUUUUGAAACAGAUCAAGAACAAUCUAAUAUCAGUCAGGAAAGACACACGGACUCUUGAAAAUAUAAAUAAAACUUAAGUCAAUGUUAGGUACUCCAUGAUGAAUCAAGUAUUCAAGGGAAUAGAACAUUUUUAAAUUGUCAAUAAGGACUAACACUAACAUCCAAUCUGUGUGGAAGAACUGUAAAUUGCAAAAUCUUUGAAUUGUAUUACUUUAAGAAAAAAUAUUUUGUGUUACAUUUUUAUAACUCCGCUACAAAAUAUAUACAGAAUAACAAAGAAAUUAUAAGAAAAAAAAUCUUUAUCCCUGUGUACGUACAAUUUUCGGAUCCCUAUCUUUCUUUGUAUAAUAUUGUAUUAGUUUAUAGGAAAUAUACUGACAGGUGGUAUUUAAU